CUUUGCCCUUUAACUUGGUGGUGCAGUCACUGUUCUCUUCCCACAGCCAUGCAGUUGGACCAAUCAUUGGCCUUCUCCAUUGUUUCUGCUCCUGGGCGUUGGGGGGCAUUCCCCAGCCUUCUGCCAAGGGCGGCAACCUCUGGACAGAGAGACAGCCAACACUUUCUCUCUAAGAUUUCCUCAGCAUGCCAGUGAGGGGUGAACC
Molecule: long non-coding RNA, 205 nt
Organism: Pan paniscus (pygmy chimpanzee)
Lineage: Eukaryota; Metazoa; Chordata; Mammalia; Primates; Hominidae
Source: Ensembl